This is a long non-coding RNA of Xenopus laevis (African clawed frog), 1078 nucleotides long. RefSeq lists it as uncharacterized. NCBI's taxonomy places the organism in Eukaryota, Metazoa, Chordata, Amphibia, Anura, Pipidae. The record is from RefSeq and is a predicted model, not a curated record. The transcript has 2 exons.
CCAUGCGGUCCCGAAACGUUUGAUCAAUUGUAAAGUGUCUGGAAGCACCUUGAAUAAAUGUGGGAGCCCCCCUUUUGAAAGCAAGCACAGGGAGAAUUUGAAGGUGAAAUCCAAUUCCCACAUUGCAGUAAAGCCUUCUGUGUCUCUUGAUUCCGAGCAAAUAGUCGCUCUUCCAUGUUACAUCCAAUGUAUCCGGAGGCAUCCCAAGUGACCUGGCAAAAAGUGACCCCCAUCUUCUUUCAAGUAAAGUUCCGUUAUCUCUGAUUGGAAGAGGAUACGACGGAACAAUCCCCACCAGAAAACAUAGGACGACAACAGUAGACAACGUCCAGUGAAUGCCGCCUCUGUGGGACAUAGUGAUGGGAAGCCUUUGGGAAACGGCAACCCAGUGCAACUUCUGGACACGUGGUCAGAAUUAAUGGCCCUAAAAAUACCUCCCUUCUUGUUUUUCUCUCUUUAGCAUGGCGGCAAAGGAUUAUUUUUGGCAAGCAGAAAGAGAUAGCUGACAUCAAACUAAAGCCUUGAAACAGUUGAGUAGGGAAGAUAGAGAGAUCAGGAAACAUCAAAGUGUUGGGGACCAUGUUUUAGAGUUCCUGAUUUCCAAUCUAGGGCUACCUAGAUAUAUUAGCCUGACCUAUCUUUAUAGAUCAGAGGCUGGCCUAUUCCACAGCAUCAUUCUGACAUCAGCGGCAUGCCGAGGAUAAAAUAGCAGCACAGUAAUGCCCGUACCACUGACCUGCUCUCCCCAAAGCCUGCUGUGAGCUGAAAUAAAUGUCUCCACUAGACAUCGGAACAACUAUCUGCAGUUAUAAUAUGUAUAUGAAGGAACCCUUCAAGGUCCAAACUUGUGUGAUGGUCAUAUGUCUGGCAGGCACUUUCCUUAUUUAGAGAAGGAGAGUAAAAGCAGUUCUUUGCCUCAUCACCGAGCAAUGAUAAUCUUGCAAGCCACUUCCUCACUGCUCUGUCCCCUGAGUUAACAUUAGGGUAGCUAAAUAUCAGUCAAGGCUAAGGGAAGCAACAUCUCUGCCCUGCAUGACUGGAAGUGUGAACUGGCAAUAAAUUCUCAUUUGUAAUAAGA